CCUACGGGCGGCAGCAGUGGGGAAUAUUGGACAAUGGGCGAAAGCCUGAUCCAGCCAUGCCGCGUGUGUGAAGAAGGUCUUCGGAUUGUAAAGCACUUUAAGUUGGGAGGAAGGGCAGUUACCUAAUACGUGAUUGUUUUGACGUUACCGACAGAAUAAGCACCGGCUAACUCUGUGCCAGCAGCCGCGGUAAUACAGAGGGUGCAAGCGUUAAUCGGAAUUACUGGGCGUAAGGCGCGCGUAGGUGGUUAGUUAAGUUGGAGGUAAAAUCCCGGGGCUCAACCUGGGAACUGCAUUCAAAACUGCCGGACUAGAGUAUGGUAGAGGGUGGUGGAAUUUCCUGUGUAGCGGUAAAAUGCGUAGAUAUAGGAAGGAACACCAGUGGCGAAGGCGACCACCUGGACUGAUACUGACACUGAGGUGCGAAAGCGUGGGGAGCAAACAGGAUUAGAUCCCCUUGUAGU
RNAcentral lists this ribosomal RNA (464 nucleotides) under uncultured Pseudomonadaceae bacterium. RNAcentral describes it as "partial 16S ribosomal RNA". It matches the Rfam family "Bacterial small subunit ribosomal RNA", at positions 338 to 794 of the family's 1533-position model. Lineage: Bacteria; Pseudomonadati; Pseudomonadota; Gammaproteobacteria; Pseudomonadales; Pseudomonadaceae. The record is from RNAcentral.